RNAcentral lists this ribosomal RNA (253 nucleotides) under uncultured bacterium. RNAcentral describes it as "partial 16S ribosomal RNA". It matches the Rfam family "Bacterial small subunit ribosomal RNA", at positions 524 to 776 of the family's 1533-position model. The record is from RNAcentral.
UACGGAGGGUGCUAGCGUUGUUCGGAAUUAUUGGGCGUAAAGGGAGCGCAGGUGGGUCGAAAAGUCGGAUGUGAAAGCCCUCGGCUUACCCGAGGAAGUGCACUCGAAACUCUCGAUCUUGAGUACUGGAGAGGGAAGCGGAAUUCCCGGUGUAGAGGUGAAAUUCGUAGAUAUCGGGAGGAACACCAGUGGCGAAGGCGGCUUCCUGGACAGAUACUGACACUGAGGCUCGAAAGCGUGGGUAGCAAACAGG